RNAcentral lists this ribosomal RNA (253 nucleotides) under uncultured bacterium. RNAcentral's name for it is "partial 16S ribosomal RNA". It matches the Rfam family "Bacterial small subunit ribosomal RNA", at positions 524 to 776 of the family's 1533-position model. The record is from RNAcentral.
GACGAACCGUGCGAACGUUGUUCGGAAUCACUGGGCAUAAAGGGCGCGUAGGCGGGCCGUAAAGUCAGGGGUGAAAUCCUCCAGCUUAACUGGAGAACUGCCUUUGAUACUGACGGUCUCGAGUGAGGUAGGGGCGUGUGGAACUGAUGGUGGAGCGGUGAAAUGUGUUGAUAUCAUCAGGAACUCCGGUGGCGAAAGCGACACGCUGGACCUCUACUGACGCUGAGGCGCGAAAGCCAGGGGAGCAAACGGG